GAUUACCCCCUUGACACACUUCCCCCUUUCUGCCACUUUACAGCUGCGAAUGGGCUUGGCUGCAGACCUUCCUCGGGGCAGAGGUUAGUCUGAAAAGCCUCGACAGAGCCCUCCCGUUCACCCCUGUAGUUCAUCUUCCCAACUGAAAUGAAGCUGGUGCAGUCAGGUGUUGCUCUGUUUGGGCUGUGCUGCUGAAAAUCUGAAGAGAAUGUCACAGCUGUUCAGUUCUGCUUGCACAGAAGACAUUGGGCUCCCAGCCAUGUGGGCAUAAUAGCAAGGCUACGUGCCACCUGCAAAAGGCACCUGAUCAUUAAUUUAAGGCCCUGGGGAUUGCCUGAGUUGCCACAGAAUUCUGCUUAAGGGCAGUUGAAGCCGACUAGUGACUCUGAGGACAAAAGAAGGCUUACACUGUGAGGGAAGGUUUCACAACCAACACAUGUGGUGGAAAAUUCUCCUGAGAGUUCUGAAGCGUAAGGUAGGGCAAAAUGUUAUUUAAUACAAGCAUGCCUGUUUCUUCCAAUGUCAUUCCCUGGCCACAAUGUGAGUUCAAAGGGAACGUCUCAGUUACAGUUCGUAUGGCAGAUUGUUCUCAGAUUAGGUGAUGUAGCUAUGUUCACAUGAAAUGGUUGGAGACUCAUGGACAAUUUACCAGGAUGUCUUUAUGAAUCCUGAGGGGAUCUGGAAACAAUUGUUUCAUCAUUAAACUCACAGUUUGUCUGCAUAUGCUCCAUCUGGGGCUAGUCAGGAGCUUAAAAGCCCUUCUGGAUGUAAUUGAAACUCUCAGGAAUUCACUACCCCCCCCCCCCCGAGCUGCCAUCCAGUGUUUUCAUGGGUGGAAUCAAUGAAUGGUGGCACAAGUUAACAUGGUAAGUUAAGCGCUGGUGUCUUAAAAUUACAUCCUGGAAGUUGAUUGCUUAGAACAAGCCCAACAUAAUUUAGCCCAGAAGAUGGAAAAGGAUAAAUAAGAUGACUGCCUUAUUGAACAGGCUAGAGAAAAGGCUUUAGGGGGAAACUAACUGAAUAAAAGUAUACUGAGAUCGUUAGGAAAUGAAACUUUGUAUAAAACAGAGUGUAAACAGAUUAAUAAUGAAUGCCUAUUCUUCAACAUUUCCCCCUCUCUCUGUUCAGUAGUUUUCUUAUUCUAGCCAUGCACAAAGAGUUCCAAAGGAUAACUCUGGUUGGAAAAUAGAAAAAUACCAGUGAAUAGCUGCAAUAUAAAAAGGUUCAGCCAACUCUACCUCUGUGUAGGACUGGUUGCUUAGUACUGAGAAACACUUUAGGUGAAUGUGGCCAAGAACUGAUAGCAUGUUAAUAAUAUCUAUCAGUUGCCAAUGUUGUGCCAUACCACAGCUUAGCCUUCCAAAGAAAAAGCAAGCAAGCAAGCAGUGAAGUUCUGUAAGUAUGUUUUUAAAACUAUUCACUGCAUAAGAUUAUAUUGUCCCAUCUGUCUCUGUCCCCAUUCUCAUUUUUCAAAUGCAUUUGGGCAGUGAUUUUCAUAUUUAACUUGACAUAUUUUGUGGGUAAUUAUCCUUUUUAAAAAAAGAAGCAUGGUUGCUCCCUUCCUUUGCUUACCUAUGUGCGGCUCAGACCUUGCCUCUGCAUGUAGGGGUGUUGCGGAGUUUGGUGUUGCCAAGUCACCUCUGAGAGGUCUCCACAUUUUCAUUGUGAUAUCACACCAGCAUGGCCACAUAGAACUCUAAUUGGUGGCCACUGAUGUAUGCAGUCUGUUGGGGAAGUGUCCUCAAUGCGCUCUUUCCAUGUUCUAAUCUUUCCUGUGUUAUGCAAAGUGCUCCUCCCUCUUUGUGCAAAGUGCCUUUCUCUAUAUUUUCAGCCACUGGGCUUUUCCCUUGUGUGCUCUAAGUGUCUGUGACAUGCAGCCAGUCUGAUAUAGCUCCAGGCUAUAUUACCCAGGGUUGGGUGGGUGUUCAUAUGCAGAAUUAUGUCAUAUCCUGUCCUCUGUUGCAUUGAUGUGCAGUAUGGGGGAUGAGUUGAAUGGAAGGUUUUUUUCUUCUUACAUCAGCUCUUUCAUAAAGUUCCACCAUCUUUGGGGACAAGUUUGAGAUCUGAAGGCACAGGAAUUGACAUAGGUUUAUGCCUACCCUAUCCUGACCAUCCAUGUCAACACCCUAUUUAAAAUUCUACAUUGGUAGAGUUGUGUUAAUGUAGCACAGAACUGCACUGCACUGGCAUAUCUUUGCAGUUGUGCUGGCAUAUCUCAUGUGGCGCCAACAUUCCUCAUGUUCCACACAUGCAUUGUGGGGCUUCUGCAACUUCCCAUAGCCCCUUUAGCUGGUGUGCCUUAAGAUGGUGAUAAUGAAGAAGGAUUUAUUAGUCAUUCAGUAUCAAAUGGUCUCCAGGCAACUUGCAACUGAUUUAAAAACAUAAAAAUAUUUAAAGCAAGAACCAUUAUUGAUGAACUUUAUAAUGUUACAAAUCCAUACCAACCUUCAGUCCCCCACUGCAAUAUUAUUAGCAGUUCAAAACAUCAUCUAAAUAAAAAGAAGAGGCCAGCCCAUAUUAUACCAAAAGAAACCACAGGAAUAAGCCUAUCAUGCAGAAUUGCACCUUUUGUGUCAUAGUAACUGUUGAAAUCAAUACGUAUAUGAGCUCCUUGGAUACAUUCAGAUUCAGGGCAGGGAAACCCGUGGCUCUUCAAUUGUUGCUGGAGCUGAUGGGAGAUGGCUCCAGCAGUAUCUGGAGGGUCACAGCUUCCUCACCCUAAUGGGUAAAUUGAGCUAUUUCUUUUCUUACAGUGUGGAUGGCUUGCAAAGGUGGGUAAAAUGAAUUCAAACUCAUCCAGUUGUUGCCCCAAAUGUAUUGCAAACUGCUCACCAGUUUGUCAAAGGGAUCUUGGGAAUGGCAAGUUGCAGAGGGUAUUUGGGAGUCUUUUAUGAGACCAGAGACUGCUCUGGGUGAUCAGAAUCACUUUAGGAUGAUUUAAAACACUAAAAACCUAACAAAACAGUAUUUGAGGCUUUUGUGAUACUGUAUUCUACCUUCACUGUUGAAGGCAGUAUACCACAAGUGGAGAGAGUUUGUUGAGCUCAGGUUCUGCUUCUGGGUUUCCCAUAAGCAUCUGGUUGUCCACUUGGAGACAAGUGGGCAGUAGACAGAUCUAGCAGGGCUCCUCUUUUUUCCUAAGGUAACCACCAUCGCCUCAUUACCUUUCUUUGCAACCAGGUUGAUAUUAGCUCAGAAGAAAAGGUGGCCAUGGGAUUUAACUGAUUUCUUACCUUUUGGAGCUGGUCAAAUUAUGGGAACGUAGCCCAACAGGAGACAGUUGUUGGUUCUCAAAGGCUUUCCUCUCAGUAGCAGGUACAUUUAUAAUUCAAUUGACUCUUUUUGGUACGCCUUCUUCUAAUUUUGUUUUCCAGAGGAAAGAUUAACUGUGGAAGUGAGAAUUUGCCCCUUAUAGGUUAAAAUAAUGAUUAUACUUGACAAGAAAAUAACUUGCUGCAUGCAGCCUUGUUAUUUUGUAAAUUUAUUUAAUGGGCUUCAUUUUUCCUACCUGGCACAUUUGCCUGUUGAGGAUAUACCCAAGUUUAAGUGCAUUUUUAAUGGUUUAAGCAGUUUCUGAUUCCUUACAUAAACAUGAUAGAAUGCACCUCUUUUCGUCUGAUUUCUGGAAAACAUGCAUUAAGGGAGGAAAAAACAGCAUUAGCAACAAUAAUGGGAAAAUAGUGCACCUGUGAAGAGAGUCUUCCCACUUCUCAAGUGCCUUUGGCCUUCAUUGUUGUUAAUAAAGGGACCCCUGAUCAUUGACCGACUCUGGGGUUGCGGCGCUCAUCUCGCGUUAUUGGCUGAGGGAGCUGGCGUACAGCUUCCAGGUCAUGUGGCCAGCAUGACAAAGCCGCUUCUGGCGAACCAGAGGAGCACACGGAAACAGGGCCGUCUUAAGCAUAUCUGGCGCCCUGGUGCAAAGAUCCCUCCGGCAC
This is a non-coding RNA of Zootoca vivipara (common lizard), 3935 nucleotides long. NCBI's taxonomy places the organism in Eukaryota, Metazoa, Chordata, Lepidosauria, Squamata, Lacertidae. The record is from RefSeq and is a predicted model, not a curated record.